CCCUUAGAUGUCCUGGGCCGCACGCGCGCUACACUGAUGCAUGCAACGAGUUUAUAACCUUGGCCUGAAAGGUCUGGGUAAUCUUUUGAACGUGCAUCGUGAUAGGGAUAGAUUAUUGCAAUUGUUAAUCUUGAACGAGGAAUUCCUAGUAAACGCGAGUCAUCAGCUCGCAUUGAUUACGUCCCUGCCCUUUGUACACACCGCCCGUCGCACCUACCGAUUGAAUGGUUCGGUGAAGAUCUCGGACUUCGAUAUUUAUUCUUUAUUGAGUUUAUAUUGUGGGAAGUUAUCUAAACCUCAUCAUUUAGAAGAAGGUGAAGUCGUAACA
RNAcentral lists this ribosomal RNA (328 nucleotides) under uncultured eukaryote. RNAcentral describes it as "partial 18S ribosomal RNA". It matches the Rfam family "Eukaryotic small subunit ribosomal RNA", at positions 1470 to 1796 of the family's 1831-position model. The record is from RNAcentral.